AAAUAAAAAAUUUUAUGAUUUAAAGAAUUUAUUUUAAAGUUUAUUUUACAUAUAAAUUUUAGUGUUAUUUAUUAUUAUUUUAAAAAAAUUAAUAAUGUUUUUUUAUAGUAAUUAAUAUUAAAAAUUUAAGAAAUUAUGAUUUAGUAAUAUUAAAAUUAAUAACAAAUUUUGUGCCAGCAGUUGCGGUUAUACAAAAAUUAAAAUAAAUUUUAUUAGUAAUUAAUUAACAAUUUUUUUUAUAUUUUAAAUUUUAAAUUAUUAGGUGAAAUUUUAAUUUAAUUAAACUUUAUUUUAAAAUUUUGUGAUUUAAUAAAUUUUAAAAAAAACUAGGAUUAGAUACCCUAUUAUUAAAAUUUAAAUUUAAAAUACUAAAACAGUAAAUUAUAUUUGUUGAAAUUUAAAUAAUUUGGCGGUAUUUUAGUUUAUUUAGAGGAACCUGUUUAAUAAUUGAUAGUCCACGAAUAAAUUUACUUAAUUUUUAAUUUUGUAUAUCGUUGUUAAAAAAAUAUUUUUUAAUAAUAAUAAUAUUUUAAAAUUUUUAUUUAAAAUUAAAUCAAAUCAAGAUGCAGAUUAUAAUUAAGAAUAUAAUGGGUUACAAUAAUUUUUAUUUAAAUGAAUGUUAAUUUUAAUAAUUAAAUUGAAGGUGGAUUUAAAUGUAAUUUUAUUUAAAUAGAUAAAAUGAUUAAAAAUUAAAAUAUGUACAUAUUGCCCGUCGCUUUCAUAUAUUUAAAUAAGUUGGGAUAAGUCGUAACAAAGUAGGGAUACUGGAAAGUGUUUCUAGAAAGAU
RNAcentral lists this non-coding RNA (787 nucleotides) under Thaumetopoea processionea. The record is from RNAcentral. Lineage: Eukaryota; Metazoa; Arthropoda; Insecta; Lepidoptera; Notodontidae.